This 460-nucleotide ribosomal RNA is filed under the name uncultured bacterium. Its description in RNAcentral is "partial 16S ribosomal RNA". It matches the Rfam family "Bacterial small subunit ribosomal RNA", at positions 338 to 795 of the family's 1533-position model. The record is from RNAcentral.
CCUACGGGAGGCAGCAGUGAGGAAUAUUGGUCAAUGGGCGCGAGCCUGAACCAGCCAAGUAGCGUGAAGGAUGACUGCCCUACGGGUUGUAAACUUCUUUUAUAAAGGAAUAAAGUUAGGCACGUGUGACUUUUUGUAUGUACUUUAUGAAUAAGGAUCGGCUAACUCCGUGCCAGCAGCCGCGGUAAUACGGAGGAUCAGAUCGUUAGCCGGAUUUAUUGGGUUGAAAGGGAGCGUAGACGGGUUGUUAAGUCAAUUGUGAAAGUUUGCGGCUCAACCGUAAAAUUGCAAUUGAUACUGGCAGGCUUGAGUACAGUUGAGGUAGGCGGAAUUCGUGGUGUAGCGGUGAAAUGCUUAGAGAUCACGAAGAACUCCGAUUGCGAAGGCAGCUUACUAAACUGCCACUGACAUUGAUGCUCGAAAGUGUGGGUAUCAAACAGGAUUAGAUACCCUAGUAGUC